AAACCAGCACCUCAAGUGGUCAGGAGGAUUAUUGGGCCUAAAGCAUCCGUAGCCUGCUUUGUAAGUUUUCGGUUAAAUCCAUAUGCUCAACAUAUGGGCUGCCGGGAAUACUGCACAGCUAGGGAGUGGGAGAGGUAGACGGUACUCGGUAGGAAGGGGUAAAAUCCUUUGAUCUAUUGAUGACCACCUGUGGCGAAGGCGGUCUACCAGAACACGUUCGACGGUGAGGGAUGAAAGCUGGGGGAGCAAACCGGAUUAGAAACCCGAGUAGUCC
Molecule: ribosomal RNA, 274 nt
Filed under: uncultured bacterium
Lineage: Bacteria
Description: partial 16S ribosomal RNA
Rfam family: Archaeal small subunit ribosomal RNA
Source: RNAcentral